RNAcentral lists this ribosomal RNA (507 nucleotides) under uncultured bacterium. RNAcentral's name for it is "partial 16S ribosomal RNA". It matches the Rfam family "Bacterial small subunit ribosomal RNA", at positions 28 to 507 of the family's 1533-position model. The record is from RNAcentral.
GACGAACGCUGGCGGCGUGCCUAAUACAUGCAAGUCGAACGCAUUUUCUUUCACCGUAGCUUGCUACACCGACAGAAAAUGAGUGGCGAACGGGUGAGUAACACGUGGGUAACCUGCCCAUCAGCGGGGGAUAACACCUGGAAACAGGUGCUAAUACCGCAUAAUUCCAUUUACCGCAUGGUAAAUGGAUGAAAGGCGCUUUUGCGUCACUGAUGGAUGGACCCGCGGUGCAUUAGCUAGUUGGUGGGGUAACGGCCUACCAAGGCUGCGAUGCAUAGCCGACCUGAGAGGGUGAUCGGCCACACUGGGACUGAGACACGGCCCAGACUCCUACGGGAGGCAGCAGUAGGGAAUCUUCGGCAAUGGACGCAAGUCUGACCGAGCAACGCCGCGUGAGUGAAGAAGGGUUUCGGAUCGUAAAACUCUGUUGUUAGAGAAGAACAAGGAUGAGAGUGGAAAGUUCAUCCCUUGACGGUAUCUAACCAGAAAGCCACGGCUAACUACGUG